AACGCACCUUGCGCUCCUUGGUAUUCCGAGGAGCAUGCCUGUUUGAGUGUCAUUAAAUUCUCAACCUCACCUGGUUUUCUAACCUGUGUGAUGGCUUGGACUUGGGAGCAUUGCAGGCUGCAGUCUAACUGCGGUUUGCUCUCCUUAAAUGUAUUAGCAGGUCUUGUACCUCUAUCCCAACGGUGUGAUAAUCUAUCUACGCUGCUGGUUUGGAGACCCUUUACUGGGGGACUGGCUUCUAACCGUCUGCAAAGACAAAUGACCAAUCUUGACCUCAAAUCAGGUAGGACUACCCGCUGAACUUAA
RNAcentral lists this unclassified non-coding RNA (306 nucleotides) under uncultured Parasola. RNAcentral describes it as "sequence contains ITS2". The stretch from base 1 to 52 matches the Rfam family "5.8S ribosomal RNA", at positions 103 to 154 of the family's 154-position model. Lineage: Eukaryota; Fungi; Basidiomycota; Agaricomycetes; Agaricales; Psathyrellaceae. The record is from RNAcentral.